GAUGAAGAACGUAGCGAAAUGCGAUACUUGGUGGGAAUUGCAGAAUCCCGUGAACCAUCGAGUCUUUGAACGCAAGUUGCGCCCGAAGCCAUUAGGCCGAGGGCACGCCUGCCUGGGCGUCACACGUCGUUGCCCCCCCAUCUAAUCCUUCGGGAUUGCGGGGGGCGGAUGAUGGCCUCCCGUGCGCCUCGUCGCGCGGUUGGCAUAAAUGCCAAGUCCUCGGCGACGCACGCCACGACAAUCGGUGGUUGCGAAACCUCGGUUGCCCGUUGUGUGCGGUCGUCGCGCAUCGAGGGCUCGAAAAAAUUGCCGGGCUCCGGCUCGACUUUCAACGCGACCCCAGGUCAGGCGGGGUUACCCGCUGAAUUUAAGCAUAUCAAUAAGCGGAGGA
This 391-nucleotide unclassified non-coding RNA is filed under the name soil metagenome. Its description in RNAcentral is "partial contains 5.8S ribosomal RNA, internal transcribed spacer 2, and large subunit ribosomal RNA". The stretch from base 1 to 122 matches the Rfam family "5.8S ribosomal RNA", at positions 35 to 154 of the family's 154-position model. The record is from RNAcentral.